This is a small nuclear RNA of Camelus dromedarius (Arabian camel), 107 nucleotides long. NCBI's taxonomy places the organism in Eukaryota, Metazoa, Chordata, Mammalia, Artiodactyla, Camelidae. The record is from Ensembl.
GUGCUCGCUUCGGCAGCACAUAUACUAAAAUUGGAACAAUACAGAGACGAUUAGCAUGACCCUUGUGCAAAGGUGACAUGCAAAUUUGUGAAGCAAUCCAUUAAAAA